This 263-nucleotide long non-coding RNA is filed under the name Elaeis guineensis (African oil palm). Its description in RNAcentral is "long non-coding RNA (EGUI_LNC039750)". Lineage: Eukaryota; Viridiplantae; Streptophyta; Magnoliopsida; Arecales; Arecaceae. The record is from RNAcentral.
CUUCGUAAUAUCAAUCUAAGUGGCUGGUCUUUCAAUAUUGCGAUGGUAUGAGCUUGAAAGUAAGACCUGAGUCUCUGAGCUACCAUGAUCAAAGCAUAUAUCAUUUUUUUGAUCUUUUUUUAUCGGGUCUCUACAUCUUUCAAUAAUUUACUAGUGUAGUAGAUAGGCCUUUGAAUGCCCAUUUCUUCUUGGAUAAGAGCCAAGCUGACUGCAUAGGGUGAGACGGAGAUAUACAUAUAUAAUUUUUUGCCUUUAAUCGGCUU